Molecule: ribosomal RNA, 248 nt
Filed under: uncultured Muribaculaceae bacterium
Lineage: Bacteria; Pseudomonadati; Bacteroidota; Bacteroidia; Bacteroidales; Muribaculaceae
Description: partial 16S ribosomal RNA
Rfam family: Bacterial small subunit ribosomal RNA
Source: RNAcentral
UACGUAGGGAGCGAGCGUUAUCCGGAUUUAUUGGGCGUAAAGCGCGCGUAGGCGGGCUAUUAAGUCAGGUGUUAAAGCCCGGGGCUCAACCCCGGCCCGCACCUGAAACUGGUAGUCUUGAGUCUGGUAGGGGAAAGUGGAAUUCCCAGUGUAGCGGUGAAAUGCGCAGAUAUUGGGAAGAACACCAGUGGCGAAGGCGGCUUUCUAGGCCACGACUGACGCUGAGGCGCGAAAGCUAGGGGAGCAAA